UAUAAGACUGGGAUAACUUCGGGAAACCGGAGCUAAUGCCGGAUAACAUAUAGAACCGCAUGGUUCUAUANGUGAAAGAUGGUUUUGCUAUCACUUAUAGAUGGACCCGCGCCGUAUUAGCUAGCUGGUAAGGUAAUGGCUUACCAAGGCGACGAUACGUAGCCGACCUGAGAGGGUGAUCGGCCACACUGGAACUGAGACACGGUCCAGACUCCUACGGGAGGCAGCAGUAGGGAAUCUUCCGCAAUGGGCGAAAGCCUGACGGAGCAACGCCGCGUGAGUGAUGAAGGUUUUCGGAUCGUAAAACUCUGUUAUUAGGGAAGAACAAAUGCGUAAGUAACUGUGCGCAUCUUGACGGUACCUAAUCAGAAAGCCACGGCUAACUACGUGCCAGCAGCCGCGGUAAUACGUAGGUGGCAAGCGUUAUCCGGAAUUAUUGGGCGUGAAGCGCGCGUAGGCGGUUUCUUAAGUCUGAUGUGAAAGCCCACGGCUCAACCGUGGAGGGUCAUUGGAAACUGGGAAACUUGAGUGCAGAAGAGGAAAGUGGAAUUCCAUGUGUAGCGGUGAAAUGCGCAGAGAUAUGGAGGAACACCAGUGGCGAAGGCGACUUUCUGGUCUGUAACUGACGCUGAUGUGCGAAAGCGUGGGGAUCAAACAGGAUUAGAUACCCUGGUAGUCCACGCCGUAAACGAUGAGUGCUAAGUGUUAGGGGGUUUCCGCCCCUUAGUGCUGCAGCUAACGCAUUAAGCACUCCGCCUGGGGAGUACGACCGCAAGGUUGAAACUCAAAG
RNAcentral lists this ribosomal RNA (790 nucleotides) under uncultured Staphylococcus sp. Its description in RNAcentral is "bacterial SSU rRNA". It matches the Rfam family "Bacterial small subunit ribosomal RNA", at positions 131 to 906 of the family's 1533-position model. The record is from RNAcentral. Lineage: Bacteria; Bacillati; Bacillota; Bacilli; Caryophanales; Staphylococcaceae.